GGGCGAGUGGUGGAACUGGCAGACACGCAGCGUUCAGGGCGCUGUGGCCGCAAGGUCGUGAGGGUUCAAGUCCCUCCUCGCCCA
Molecule: transfer RNA, 84 nt
Filed under: Candidatus Taylorbacteria bacterium RIFCSPHIGHO2_01_FULL_48_38
Lineage: Bacteria; Candidatus Tayloriibacteriota
Also listed under: 4 other names
Description: tRNA-Leu
Rfam family: tRNA
About the family: Transfer RNA (tRNA) molecules are approximately 80 nucleotides in length. Their secondary structure includes four short double-helical elements and three loops (D, anti-codon, and T loops).
Source: RNAcentral